This 496-nucleotide ribosomal RNA is filed under the name uncultured bacterium. Its description in RNAcentral is "partial 16S ribosomal RNA". It matches the Rfam family "Bacterial small subunit ribosomal RNA", at positions 28 to 506 of the family's 1533-position model. The record is from RNAcentral.
GAUGAACGCUGGCGGCGUGCCUAAUACAUGCAAGUCGAGCGAACAGAUAAGGAGCUUGCUCCUUUGACGUUAGCGGCGGACGGGUGAGUAACACGUGGGUAACCUACCUAUAAGACUGGAAUAACUCCGGGAAACCGGGGCUAAUGCCGGAUAACAUUUAGAACCGCAUGGUUCUAAAGUGAAAGAUGGUUUUGCUAUCACUUAUAGAUGGACCCGCGCCGUAUUAGCUAGUUGGUAAGGUAACGGCUUACCAAGGCAACGAUACGUAGCCGACCUGAGAGGGUGAUCGGCCACACUGGAACUGAGCCACGGUCCAGACUCCUACGGGAGGAAGAAGUAGGGAAUCUUCCGCAAUGGGCGAAAGCCUGACGGAGCAACGCGGCGUGGGUGAUGAAGGUCUUCGGAUCGUAAAACUCUGUUAUUAGGGAAGAACAAAUGUGUAAGUAACUGUGCACGUCUUGACGGUACCAAAUCAGAAAGCCACGGCUAACUACGU